GACGAACGCUGGCGGCGUGCUUAACACAUGCAAGUCGAACGGAAAGGCCCUGCUUUUGUGGGGUGCUCGAGUGGCGAACGGGUGAGUAACACGUUAGUAACCUGCCCUUGACUUUGGGAUAACUUCAGGAAACUGGGGCUAAUACCGGAUAGGAUCUCCUGCUGCAUGGUGGGGGUUGGAAAGUUUCGGCGGUUGGGGAUGGACUCGCGGCUUAUCAGCUUGUUGGUGGGGUAGUGGCUUACCAAGGCUUUGACGGGUAGCCGGCCUGAGAGGGUGACCGGCCAAAUUGGGACUGAGAUACGGCCCAGACUGCUACGGGAGGCAGCAGUGGGGAAUAUUGCACAAGGGGCGGAAGACUGAUGCAGCAACGCAGCGUGCGGGAUGACGGCCUUCGGGUUGUAAACCGCUUUCGCCUGGGACGAAGCGUGAGUGACGGUAAUGGGUAAAGAAGAAACGGCUAAAUACGUG
Molecule: ribosomal RNA, 468 nt
Filed under: uncultured bacterium
Lineage: Bacteria
Description: partial 16S ribosomal RNA
Rfam family: Bacterial small subunit ribosomal RNA
Source: RNAcentral